This is a long non-coding RNA of Mustela erminea (ermine), 789 nucleotides long. RefSeq lists it as uncharacterized. The transcript is spliced from 6 exons. Lineage: Eukaryota; Metazoa; Chordata; Mammalia; Carnivora; Mustelidae. The record is from RefSeq and is a predicted model, not a curated record.
CACCAUGGCCAUUGCUGUCAGUGGUCUUGAAAUUUUUGCUCUCUGCAGGCACAGCUGGUACUGUUGAUGCUUCUCAUCUGCUAUGCAAGCUGGCUGGAUGCUGCCAUUUUCAGAGAUGGAAAGAUGAGGAGAACUUUGGUCUUCCUAACUCUGUUCCCCACACCCUGAGGUUGCCCACGGUGAGUAGGUGAAAAGACGACCCCUCCACCACCACCACCACCGCCGCCAUUCCUUUUCGGGGAGUUUUCCAAGCCUCUCUGGAAUGUGGAGAAAAUCUGUGGAAAUAUGUAAGGCAGGACCAGAUUGACCCUCUCCAUGGAGGUGCCAGCCUAAGCAAGACUACAUUAGGGGACAAUUAUUUGUAAGGGAUCAUUCAAGGAAGGAGUUUUGCUGGAGGAGUAAUGGUAGAGAUGCUACCUGCAGAAUCUUGAUGCAAGAAAGACUGGCCGUCUGAAAUCGGGAUGCCAACUUCGCUGAGUUCUGUUGAGAGCCCCCUCCCAGGCUACAGACCGUGGACUUCUAGUAUCCUCAUGUGGUGGAGAACAGGUCAAAGCAUGAAACAAUGCCAUGUGAGGAAGACAGUCUUUAGUUUUCCACAAACAGCUCUGUUAAGGCCAGCCAUAUUACCAAGAAACCACAGUUCCAAGUGGAGAACAUGCUAGGCUAUCUUAUUCAUGCUGAUGUAUGAUCUAAUUUCAAGUUUUUCACUUUGUAAAAGUUCUUGUUUCAAGGAAAGCAAUUCUCCCAGCCUACAUCCUAUUUUUGCCUGUGAAAUGAAUAAAAAAAAAA